Cyprinus carpio carpio is the source of this 1424-nucleotide long non-coding RNA. The record is from Ensembl. Lineage: Eukaryota; Metazoa; Chordata; Actinopteri; Cypriniformes; Cyprinidae.
GGAUUGGCAGAAACUGUUUUCUAAUCCCAUCCUUCAUUUUAAUGGUGGUGUUAUAGAAAGAGAAUCUGUGGAAGAGAGGUUAACACACUCUUUACAUGCUGCUUCAGCUCUUUUUUCAUUAUUUAAUCAUCCUGAAAUCAAAAAUGUUUAAUGAACAUGUUCAUGAGCUGUACCAAAGCCAUUUUCAGGAUCACAAACAUCAAUACCGGGGAUUUUUAUCCCUGUACAUUUGUGAAAAUCAAGAGCAGAUUGAUUCUCUGUUUGACUGUAUCCUAUGGAAUCCAUUUCCACCACAGAAUUAAGAAAGAAAAAAAAAGUUAAUGUUAUCAUGAAAUCUGUAGCCUGGAAACCCAUUUUUGGGAAUUCAGAUUAUCAACCGGAAGACGUUAAGCAUUACCAUGCGACUCAGAUUAAAGCAGCAGCAGGUCCUGUGGAAAAUUCUGACUCCAAAACCUUAAAAGGUGAAAGCAAAACAGCCACAGGACAAGAACAUUUCCACAUGCUUUCCUUCCUGACCUUUCAUUAUACAAGAGCUGGAGGCUGCUUCUAUUCUCAGCAUAAUACAUAAUCAGAUUCCACGGCGUGAUUUUGAAUCCGUCUGAGAUCUGAAGGUUUACUGUAACGUGAGGAAUUUUACUGUUUUCAGCACAAACACCAGAGAACUUUGAUGUCCUUCAUGCUGCUGGAAAUUAAUAUCCUGAAAAUAUCCCAAAACUGAUGCUGUUGAUCUCAAAACACAACACAGCAUCAACUGACUCUGUACUGAGAGUUAACUGAGAGAGUGUUUCUAAACCACAGAAACCCUUUGGUCAUUUCUUUUUUUUUUUCUGUUACAAGACAGAAGAUCAGUGGAGACAAAAGAACAUGCGUUGAGAUGUAAAGAGAGAAAUCCUCAUGUAGUGAACUGGGGCAAAGCAGAUGUCUGUUCAAACGAGUUCUUUGAUUCAAGACUACAUACUAUUUCUCAGAGGUGAUCCCGAACAAGUGAAGCUGGAUCACAAAUGAUUUGCGGGAACAUAGAUGCAUUUAGGCAAAUCGGGGAUCGGCGCAUUCCCUUCAAAAACAAAAGUAAUCCACUGUGUCUUCAGUGGUUCAGAUGUCAAGAGUAGGACAACUGCUACGUUCAUUAUUACAUCCAACAACAAAACAACUCAAUUGCUUAGGAGUCAUUCUUGUCUACAUCCCUGAUCCGGUGUUAAAACAAUGGCAGAUUGUUGACAGCUCACUCAGGGCGGAUCUAAGUUAAAACACCAAUGUCAGUCAACAGUUGUGGGAGGGGCCUGGGUCUGUGUGACAUCACACAGCCAAGAAGCUGAGAAUGGCUUGAUUUGUGAAAGGGGAUAUUAUUUAUAGAGAUUAAAAAAAGUAGAUUUUUAUCAUUAAAAUGUAUAUUUAAAUAUAUAUAUAUAUAUAUAUAUAUAUAU